Long non-coding RNA from Salvia miltiorrhiza (redroot sage), 862 nucleotides. RefSeq lists it as uncharacterized. The transcript is spliced from 2 exons. Lineage: Eukaryota; Viridiplantae; Streptophyta; Magnoliopsida; Lamiales; Lamiaceae. The record is from RefSeq and is a predicted model, not a curated record.
AAAAUUUUUGUUUCCCCCCUAAGGAAAUCACUUCCCGCCCUGAACGAAAAAAAUCCCUCCAAAAGUUAGAGGGAAUUUAUUUACUUUUUUGCUCAAUUUUCCCUCAUUUCUCCCUCCUUCGUUUCUCAUCACAUAAAUCAUUCAUUCUCCUUGGAUUUUCCCUCACUUGCCUCAUUUAUCAGUUGUUCAAUUGUUUCCCCUUAUUGGUGUCCUCCUCCUGCUGGACAACAAAACAUCACAAAUCAUCGAUGUAACAAACGAGGAGGCGGUAUGAUUCAGUGGGUUUAUUGUCAACUUGGAAGAUGCUAACGUCGAUCUGCCUUUGGAGAGCUUCACAGAGUCGACUCGUUCGAGAGCUGGAAAAGCUGACGAGGGUCGAGGAAUACGCCUUUAUCUCGCUGAUAGAUAGGAGAGCUAGGCGUUGUCUUUUGCCUAGUCAUGGUUGUGCCCGUGGGGGGUCGCGCCCUCCCAAAGUUUGCAAAGACUGGUGCUAGAACGUCAUGCUCGGUGGCUUGCGUUUCAGACGAACGCCACAUGUUCGAUAAUUUGUCUCAGAGAACAGCACCGCCGUCCUUCGCCUAGCCAGAGUUGCCGCCAUCGCCAUCUCGCUUCUUUGUUUGCGUGGGUUUGAUUAAUUAUGUAUUUCUGUAGCCCAAGCCUUUAGAAGUUGGAUUGAAAUGAGAUUUUCAUCGCAGCCGUUGAUGCCUUUGACUUCACCGAUAUCCGCCGUAGGAUGCUUAUUACUUUUAUUUUUUAAUAUACGCAUAACACAGGUAGUGGGGCAUCUAAAAUUCAAUAAUGACAAUAUUGUUUAUUAUUCUGAUGGUUAGAAAGCCAAAUCCCAUUAUUCAUUACCAGAAAA